AAAAAAAGGUAAAUGACAACCUCAUUUGUCGUCCUUCCAAGUAUAUAAACUUCAGCUGCUAGCCCUAGCAGACUAAAGCAUACAAUAAAAUAUACAAAUGACCUCAGAAAAACAUCACACCAGUCAAAAAAAAUUGCUAUAAUCAAGGAAUGCACCAACCUAGUUCGCCCCAUUUCAGCCUACUUCCAAACAAAUCAUGUUGAAGUACAGCACAUCUUGCUCUUAGCUGGGAUUUCUUGCGCGGGUCCCGGGAUAAUGAUCUUCUUACCACCGGCUAGGGAUGCAGAGUUGCCAUUGCCUUGAUUUUCACCAGCAGCUAAGUUCUUUUUGUUCAUGAUACUGAAGAUCUCAGUUAGGACAGUCAUAAAGGCACUCUCCACGUUGGUUGAUUCCAGUGCCGAGGUUUCCAAGAAAAACAAACCUUCUUUCUCAGCAAAUUCCUUGGCAUCCUCAGUGGGGACUGCGCGCUGGUCUUCGAGAUCACUUUUGUUUCCUAUUAAGAUGAUAACAAUGUUCUUGUCAGCAUGGCUCCGCAACUCCUCAAGCCACCGGGGUAUGUGAUCAAAGGUCUGGCGUUUCGUAAUAUCGUAGACAAGCAUUGCCCCAAGAGCCCCUCUGUAAUAUGCACUUGUAACUGCUCUGUAUCUCUCCUGGCCCGCAGUAUCCCAGAUCUGAGCUUUA
RNAcentral lists this unclassified non-coding RNA (681 nucleotides) under Hevea brasiliensis (rubber tree). The record is from RNAcentral. Lineage: Eukaryota; Viridiplantae; Streptophyta; Magnoliopsida; Malpighiales; Euphorbiaceae.